This 433-nucleotide ribosomal RNA is filed under the name uncultured bacterium. RNAcentral describes it as "partial 16S ribosomal RNA". It matches the Rfam family "Bacterial small subunit ribosomal RNA", at positions 29 to 507 of the family's 1533-position model. The record is from RNAcentral.
AACGAACGCUGGCGGCAUGCCUAACACAUGCAAGUCGAACGAGACCUCCUGGUUUGGUGGCGCACGGGUGCGUAACGCGUGGGAACCUGCCCUUAUGUUCUGACUAACUCCCUGGAAGGGGUGCUAAUACCGGGGAAUGUCUUCGGACCAAAGAUUUGUCGCCUUUGGAUGGGCCGGCGUUGUUUGGCGUUGGUGGUGGGGUAAAAGCCUACCAAGGCGAGGAGCCAUCGCUGGUCUGAGAGGAUGAACAGCCAGACUGGGACUGAGACCCGGCCCCGACGGGUGCGAGAAGUAGGGAAGGGUACUAAAGGACUAUGGGCGAGAGGCUGAAACAGCAAUGCCGGGUGAGCGAUGUAGGGGUUAGGAUUGUCAAGCUCUCUUGACCGAGCUGAUAAUGACAGUAGUGGGAGAAUAAGCACCGGCUAACUACGUG